Molecule: long non-coding RNA, 169 nt
Organism: Hibiscus syriacus
Lineage: Eukaryota; Viridiplantae; Streptophyta; Magnoliopsida; Malvales; Malvaceae
Exons: 2
Source: RefSeq, a predicted model, not a curated record
AAAACCUCCCAUUUAAUGUUCGGUAUUUCAAUAUCCCUUGCAUCUUUUUCCUGCAACAUAGACCACAAGGAAUUUAAAAAAGGAUCAUCAUUUAGAAAAAAAAUAGAUGAGCUUAGAUACAUUCAGAAUCAUCAGAAAUAAUGGACUUUAUCUCAGAUCAGCUGCAAGA